Molecule: transfer RNA, 71 nt
Filed under: Camelus bactrianus (Bactrian camel)
Lineage: Eukaryota; Metazoa; Chordata; Mammalia; Artiodactyla; Camelidae
Also listed under: 2 other names
Rfam family: tRNA
About the family: Transfer RNA (tRNA) molecules are approximately 80 nucleotides in length. Their secondary structure includes four short double-helical elements and three loops (D, anti-codon, and T loops). Further hydrogen bonds mediate the characteristic L-shaped molecular structure. tRNAs have two regions of fundamental functional importance: the anti-codon, which is responsible for specific mRNA codon recognition, and the 3' end, to which the tRNAs corresponding amino acid is attached (by aminoacyl-tRNA synthetases). tRNAs cope with the degeneracy of the genetic code in two manners: having more than one tRNA (with a specific anti-codon) for a particular amino acid; and 'wobble' base-pairing, i.e. permitting non-standard base-pairing at the 3rd anti-codon position.
Source: Rfam by way of RNAcentral
UAAAGAAUGCUCAGUGGUAGAGUGUGUGCUUAGCAUGCACGAGGUCCUGGGUUCAAUCCCCAGUACUUUUG